RNAcentral lists this unclassified non-coding RNA (261 nucleotides) under fungal sp. Its description in RNAcentral is "partial internal transcribed spacer region". The stretch from base 1 to 46 matches the Rfam family "Eukaryotic small subunit ribosomal RNA", at positions 1786 to 1831 of the family's 1831-position model. Lineage: Eukaryota; Fungi. The record is from RNAcentral.
AAGUCGUAACAAGGUUUCCGUAGGUGAACCUGCGGAAGGAUCAUUAUUGAAUGAAUCUAGAGUGGUUGUCGCUGGCCCCCCCCAAUGGGCAAUGUGCACACCUUCUCUCCUUCAUCCACACACACCUGUGCACUUGUGAGACGGAGGAUUGAAAAAAAGCCCUCCGUCUACUAAUCACACAAACUCAUUGUAAUUGCACUGAAUGUAAUUGAUGUAACACAUCAUUGGAACAAAGUUUCAACAACGGAUCUCUUGGCUCUC